UACGUAGGGGGCAAGCGUUGUCCGGAAUCAUUGGGCGUAAAGCGCGCGUAGGCGGCCCUGUAAGUCCGUUGUGAAAGUCGAAGGCUCAACCUUCGAAAGCCGAUGGAUACUGCAGGGCUAGAGUCCGGAAGAGGCGAGUGGAAUUCCUGGUGUAGCGGUGGAAUGCGCAGAUAUCAGGAGGAACACCAAUAGCGAAGGCAGCUCGCUGGGACGUUACUGACACUGAGGCGCGAAAGCGUGGGGAGCGAACAGG
This 253-nucleotide ribosomal RNA is filed under the name uncultured bacterium. RNAcentral describes it as "partial 16S ribosomal RNA". It matches the Rfam family "Bacterial small subunit ribosomal RNA", at positions 524 to 776 of the family's 1533-position model. The record is from RNAcentral.